This 500-nucleotide ribosomal RNA is filed under the name uncultured Glomeromycotina. Its description in RNAcentral is "partial small subunit ribosomal RNA". It matches the Rfam family "Eukaryotic small subunit ribosomal RNA", at positions 591 to 1092 of the family's 1831-position model. The record is from RNAcentral. Lineage: Eukaryota; Fungi; Glomeromycota.
CCAAUAGCGUAUAUUAAAGUUGUUGCAGUUAAAAAGCUCGUAGUUGAAUUUCGGGGUUAGUAGGUUGGUCAUGCCUCUGGUAUGUACUGGUCUCACUGAUUCCUCCUUCCUGAUGAGCCGUAAUGCCAUUAAUUUGGUGUUGCGGGGAAUUUGGACUGUUACUUUGAAAAAAUUAGAGUGUUUAAAGCAAGCUAACGCUUGAAUACAUUAGCAUGGAAUAAUGAAAUAGGACGUUCGAUCCUAUUUUGUUGGUUUCUAGGAUUGACGUAAUGAUUAAUAGGGAUAGUUGGGGGCAUUAGUAUUCAAUUGUCAGAGGUGAAAUUCUUGGAUUUAUUGAAGACUAACUACUGCGAAAGCAUUUGCCAAGGAUGUUUUCAUUAAUCAAGAACGAAGGUUAGGGGAUCGAAGACGAUCAGAUACCGUCGUAGUCUUAACCAUAAACUAUGCCGACUAGGGAUCGGAUGAUGUUAAUUUUUUAAUGACUCAUUCGGCGCCUUACG